GUGCCAGGCAGCCGCGGUAACACGUAGGAGGCAAACGUUAUCCGGAUUUACUGGGCGUAAAGCGCGUGUAGGUGGUACUGUAAGUAGGGCGUGAAAGCUCCUGGCUCAACUGGGAGAGGCCGUUCUAAACUACAGAACUAGAGGAUGGUAGAGGGAGGUGGAAUUCCAGGUGUAGCGGUGGAAUGCGCAGAUAUCUGGAGGAACACCGGUGGCGAAGGCGGCCUCCUGGACCAUUCCUGACACUCAGACGCGAAAGCUAGGGUAGCAAACGGG
RNAcentral lists this ribosomal RNA (273 nucleotides) under uncultured bacterium. Its description in RNAcentral is "partial 16S ribosomal RNA". It matches the Rfam family "Bacterial small subunit ribosomal RNA", at positions 505 to 776 of the family's 1533-position model. The record is from RNAcentral.